AUCCUUUUUCUAACUAAAGUCUGUCGACAAAUACUUCUUUUUAAUACAAAAAGUCUUUGUGUUUUUACUAGGUAGUUACCCGUGCGAUACACUGUUGCUGUUUUGUUUUUUUAAAAAAUAUAUAUUGUAUCCUAUUAUAAAAUAUAUUACAAUAUUAAAUACAUUUUAUUUACAUGUUUUAGGAUUAAUGGUCAAAUUAGUCACUGAAUUUGUAAGCGAAGUUGAUUUUAGUCCCUUUGCGGAAAAAUGACGUUUAGUAACGAUCAUUUUUACAAUUAUUGGCAGUUUUUUACCGUUACUAAACGUUAUUUUUCCUCAAAGAAACUAAAAUCAAACUCGCUUACAAACUCAAUAACUAUUGGACUAACGACCAUUAACCCUUAAUUUUAAUACAACGGAUUUUUUUUUAGAAGAAACCAUUAUAUUAAUUCUCUAAUGUUUAGGAAAAAUAAUUUCUACAAAAUGAAAAUAACUUAUAAUAGUUAAAAUCAUCUUUCUAUUUAAAUUUAAUGAAACAAAAUGAGAGAUACAUUGAGAGGAGUAAAUCAAAAUCGAAAUAGCAUCAGUAGCUCCGCCUGACACAAUUUCACACAUUUUCUUCAGGUGUUUUUUUUUCAUUUGUUUCUCCUUUUCUCCAUUUGUUCCUGCAUUUCUCGCUUUCUUCAUCAAAAUUAUGUUAGAAGUUUCACUUUUCAUCUCCCACCCCACUGUGAAAAUAAAGAAAUGUUUGAAUUGAUUUGAAGGGUUUUUAUGUCACUAAGUUCUUGGUUUGUCGUGUUAAGUAUGUUUGAUUAUGUUAUGCUCUAUUAUUAGUGUGUCAGACCAUGUUCAUUGUUUUCUAUGCGGUUUGACUCAAAUUCAUUUAUAUGAAAAUCAACAACAGCGUCACUCACAUGUUUCUUACAAGCUUGAAUUGAGAUUUAACUGGGGAAAUAAGUAUCCCAAGACAUUUGAAACAAAUAAAUAAAUUUGAAUGUAUCUAUGUUAUGUGAAACAAAGGUAACUUUUAAUAGUAAACCUGACUAAAAUUGCAUCCUGAUACUAUAAAUAUGACUCAAAAACAUUAAAUGAUGUUAAAGGCAAAGAUAGUUAACAAAUGCAGAGACCACAAUGUACACGAGUCUAGACAAGGCUAUUCUCUAUCAUGUCUGAUUUUAUAGUAUCACCAUUCCAUCAAAUUUCCCCAAGUAUUAUCUGUAUAGAACAAAUAGACUAUGAAUUUCCAAAGCAUGCACAACACGAGUACUAUAUCACAUUCAUGCCGGUGGAAAGAACCUCCACAAUGUUUGCUUAAUACAAAAACAGAGAAAACCAGAGCUUAAAACUAAUUUUCUGUGACAAUUGGAUCAGCUCUAAGAACUUGAAUCGGAGUCUCCUUAUUGAAUUUAAGGGAUUUGGCUUUCGUAAAGAAUCUGAAAAUUCUGUAGCAGAGCUGUCUUUGCUGUUCUUUAGACACUUUGGCUUCAAAGAAAUGUUAGAAAUUUCAGGGGCACUUAGUCAUCCCAAGACAACAUUUGAAAUAGGGCCACUUUCUUGGCCUAUUAUUGGUGUUCUGUUCAUGGAUUUUUAAAGGUGUUUCUUUGUUAAACAUGCAUAGAGAUUGGCAUGCCUUGGGGUGUAUCAUCAUUCCAUACACUGCCACCGUAAAAGUAGAGCAUCAUCAAGUUUGGGAAGAACUUAUGGCAUGGUUAGAGCAAACGUGAAGCCACUUCCGCAGUAAACUCUGAUUGAUGCAGCUUCAUUCAGAUCAUAUCCGAGACUUACUGUAUCAGGACUGAUCCUGUCACAAGUAUCUCCCAAGCCAAGUUGACCAUGCUCACCCCAACCCCGUGGCGGAGUAUGCUGCAAAUUUUGAGGAAUUGAUUAAGUUUUGUCCCCACUACAAUACUGCCGAAGCUGAGAGAUCUAAGUGUAACAAGUUUGUGAAUGGUUUGAGACCUGAGAUCAAGAAGGCUGUGGGAUAUCAACAGAUUAUCCGAUUUUCUGACCUGGUUAACAGGAGUAGGAUAUAUGAUGAGGAUAGCAGGGAAAGUGCUGCUCACUACAAGUCUUUGAAAGAGAAGAAAGAAAAGGGGCAAUUCAGAGGGAAACCGUAUGGGAAUCCUGCUGAUAAGGGUAAACAAGAAGCUGGUCAUGACAAGAAGCCGAGUGGGGGAGGAGCUCCUAAUCCGGUUAGGUGCUACAAGUGUGGUGUUGAAGGACGUCGUUCUCCUGAAUGUCCCAAUUCAGAAGCAACAUGAUUUAAGUGUGGCAAGCUGGGCCACAAAUCCUUUGAGUGCCUAGAAGGUAAAACUGUGGCAUGCUACAGAUGUGGAGAGCAAGGUCACAUCAGUACUAAUUGUGACAAACCCAAGAAGGAUCCUGCAAGGGGGAAGGUGUUUGCUUUAUCUGGUGCUGAGACUACUGUUGAGGAUAGACUAAUUCGAGGUAAUCAGGAGGAGUAGUCUAUAGCCUUUAUUUCGAGUUGGAGUCCUUGCUCUGAUACGUAGCACUUGGGGGGGGGAUGGACGCUUGUUUCGUUUCUGUUAUAUUUGUUGUUGAAUUAAGUUAUCAUUGAGGAAUUGUUCCUGUUAAGUUGUGAACAAGAUGCUAUGUUUUCUUUAAGUUUUAAAUACGUUAUAUCCGCUGUUUAUUUAUUGAUUUAGUGAACUAUUUUUAUUAUUAAAAAUUAAUUAUCUGC
Long non-coding RNA from Lotus japonicus, 2680 nucleotides. RefSeq lists it as uncharacterized. The record is from RefSeq and is a predicted model, not a curated record. The transcript has 2 exons. NCBI's taxonomy places the organism in Eukaryota, Viridiplantae, Streptophyta, Magnoliopsida, Fabales, Fabaceae.